GACGAACGCUGGCGGCGUGCCUAAUACAUGCAAGUAGAACGCUGAAGGAGGAGCUUGCUUCUCCGGAUGAGUUGCGAACGGGUGAGUAACGCGUAGGUAACCUGCCUGGUAGCGGGGGAUAACUAUUGGAAACGAUAGCUAAUACCGCAUAAGAGUAGAUGUUGCAUGACAUUUGCUUAAAAGGUGCAAUUGCAUCACUACCAGAUGGACCUGCGCUGUAUUAGCUAGUUGGUGGGGUAACGGCUCACCAAGGCGACGAUACAUAGCCGACCUGAGAGGGUGAUCGGCCACACUGGGACUGAGACACGGCCCAGACUCCUACGGGAGGCAGCAGUAGGGAAUCUUCGGCAAUGGACGGAAGUCUGACCGAGCAACGCCGCGUGAGUGAAGAAGGUUUUCGGAUCGUAAAGCUCUGUUGUAAGAGAAGAACGAGUGUGAGAGUGGAAAGUUCACACUGUGACGGAAUCUUACCAGAAAGGGACGGCUAACUGCGUGCCAGCAGCCGCGGUAAUACGUAGGUCCCGAGCGUUGUCCGGAUUUAUUGGGCGUAAAGCGAGCGCAGGCGGUUAGAUAACUCUGAAGUUAAAGGCUGUGGCUUAACCAUAGUACGCUUUUGGAAACUGUUUAACUUGAGUGCAAGAGGGGAGAGCGGAAUUCCAUGUGUAGCGGUGCAAUGCGUAAAUAUAUGGAGGAACACCGGUGCCGAAAACUGU
RNAcentral lists this ribosomal RNA (713 nucleotides) under uncultured Streptococcus sp. Its description in RNAcentral is "bacterial SSU rRNA". It matches the Rfam family "Bacterial small subunit ribosomal RNA", at positions 28 to 725 of the family's 1533-position model. The record is from RNAcentral. Lineage: Bacteria; Bacillati; Bacillota; Bacilli; Lactobacillales; Streptococcaceae.